ACUCGCAGUACCAUCAGCG
RNAcentral lists this ribosomal RNA (19 nucleotides) under Borreliella burgdorferi (Lyme disease spirochete). RNAcentral describes it as "partial 23S ribosomal RNA". Lineage: Bacteria; Pseudomonadati; Spirochaetota; Spirochaetia; Spirochaetales; Borreliaceae. The record is from RNAcentral.